RNAcentral lists this ribosomal RNA (274 nucleotides) under uncultured Leuconostoc sp. Its description in RNAcentral is "partial 16S ribosomal RNA". It matches the Rfam family "Bacterial small subunit ribosomal RNA", at positions 72 to 339 of the family's 1533-position model. The record is from RNAcentral. Lineage: Bacteria; Bacillati; Bacillota; Bacilli; Lactobacillales; Lactobacillaceae.
AGAGGUGCUUGCACCUUUCAAGCGAGUGGCGAACGGGUGAGUAACACGUGGAUAACCUGCCUCAAGGCUGGGGAUAACAUUUGGAAACAGAUGCUAAUACCGAAUAAAACUUAGUAUCGCAUGAUAUAAAGUUAAAAGGCGCUACGGCGUCACCUAGAGAUGGAUCCGCGGUGCAUUAGUUAGUUGGUGGGGUAAGGGCUUACCAAGACGAUGAUACGUAGCCGACCUGAGAGGGUAAUCGGCCACACUGGGACUGAGACACGGCCCAGACUCC